RNAcentral lists this ribosomal RNA (789 nucleotides) under bacterium sp. RCKAN6. RNAcentral describes it as "bacterial SSU rRNA". It matches the Rfam family "Bacterial small subunit ribosomal RNA", at positions 8 to 775 of the family's 1533-position model. The record is from RNAcentral.
AGAGUUUGAUCCUGGCUCAGGACGAACGCUGGCGGCGUGCCUAAUACAUGCAAGUCGAGCGGACCAAAGCGGAGCUUGCUCUGAUUUGGUCAGCGGCGGACGGGUGAGUAACACGUGGGCAACCUGCCCGCAAGACCGGGAUAACUCCGGGAAACCGGAGCUAAUACCGGAUAACACCGAAGACCGCAUGGUCUUUGGUUGAAAGGCGGCCUUUGGCUGUCACUUGCGGAUGGGCCCGCGGCGCAUUAGCUAGUUGGUGAGGUAACGGCUCACCAAGGCGACGAUGCGUAGCCGGCCUGAGAGGGUGACCGGCCACACUGGGACUGAGACACGGCCCAGACUCCUACGGGAGGCAGCAGUAGGGAAUCUUCCGCAAUGGGCGAAAGCCUGACGGAGCGACGCCGCGUGAGCGAAGAAGGCCUUCGGGUCGUAAAGCUCUGUUGUGAGGGACGAAGGGGCGCCGUUCGAAGAGGGCGGCGCGGUGACGGUACCUCACGAGGAAGCCCCGGCUAACUACGUGCCAGCAGCCGCGGUAAUACGUAGGGGGCGAGCGUUGUCCGGAAUUAUUGGGCGUAAAGCGCGCGCAGGCGGUUCCUUAAGUCUGAUGUGAAAGCCCACGGCUCAACCGUGGAGGGUCAUUGGAAACUGGGGGGACUUGAGUGCAGGAGAGGAGAGCGGAAUUCCACGUGUAGCGGUGAAAUGCGUAGAGAUGUGGAGGAACACCAGUGGCGAAAGCGGCUCUCUGGCCUGCAACUGACGCUGAGGCGCGAAAGCGUGGGGAGCAAACAG